This 6434-nucleotide long non-coding RNA is filed under the name Nicotiana tabacum (common tobacco). RNAcentral describes it as "long non-coding RNA (NTAB_LNC002094)". The record is from RNAcentral. Lineage: Eukaryota; Viridiplantae; Streptophyta; Magnoliopsida; Solanales; Solanaceae.
CGGAACCUGACCAACAUGAACUUGCUGCUCUGAAGUUGUGGUAGGAGUCUGAGCUACUCCCCCAAUCUGCGAAAUAUUUGGUGCAACAGAGAUCAAUCCCGCCUGAGUUAAUGUACCAAACAUACUCAGGAGCUGUGUUAAAGUCUCCUGAAGUCCGGGGAUAACAGCAGGUGCUUCUAGUACCUGUCCCCCAACUGGAGUUACUGGCUGCUCCUCAAUUGCUGCUCUGACAGGUGCUCUAGUCGCGACACGUGCCCUUUCUCGGCCUCUACCUCAGCCUCUGCCUCGGCCCCGGCCUCUUGCAACCCUAGUAGUAUGUGAGGAUGCCUGCUCAGCUAACCCGGUAGCGCGUGUCCUAACUAUCUGUGAGAGAAUAAAGAUAUAAAGGCUCAAAUUCCACAAUCAACAAAUCUGCACGACAGGAAUAAAAGAAGUGGAAAUUUUCUAACUGUUUUGUAGCCUAUCGAAGAUAAGUACAGACGUCUUCGUGCCGAUCCGCAAGACUCUACUAGACUCGUUCAUGACUCGUAGAACCUAUGAACCUAGAGCUCUUAUACCAACUUGUCAUGACCCAAAAUCCCACCACAGGCAUCGUGAUGGCACUUAGUCUCUAAGACUAAGUAAGCCGAUUUCAAUUACAUUUCAAGCCUUUUUUUUAUAUAUAGAAACUAGCAGCGUAAAUAAUAAAAUAACCUCCCAAGACUGGUAGUACUGAGUCACGAACUCUAACUGAAUACAUGCAAUGAUCUCAAGGAUCAAAUAAAUAGCAUUGUUCGAAUAAGAGUUGACAGUACAAUAAAAUGGAAAGACUCUAAGGGAUUGCGACGACCAAGCAGCUCUACCUUGAAUCAUUGCGAUCACACUUUAGCUCUGUCCGAGUCCGAUAUCUCCAACACAUGACUCUGCACAAAAAUAUGCAGAAGUGUAGUAUGAGUACACCACGGUCAGUAUCCAGUAAGUAUCAAGACUAACCUCAGUAGAGUAGAGACGAGGUAUAGUCAAGACACUCACUUGUUUAAUAACCUGUGCAAUAUAAUAUAAAAAAUAAUGAAAAACAAAUAACAAUAACGGCAACACAAAUCAAACAGUGAUAUGCAUAGCAGGGCAACAAGAACACCAUUAAUAUUGCUCAACAAAUAAUAAAUACAAGUACACCCAAUUAAAUCAAGUCCUUCAAAUAAAUGUCUUUCAAAUAUAAUUUUCUCAAAUAAAUAUCUUUCAAAUGCAAAUUCUUUCAUAUAAUAUUUUUUGAAUAAAAUUCCUUCCAAAUAAAUAUUUUGAAUAUAAUUCUUUCAAUUAAAAGUCACCAUGUGACACCCCAUUUCAUAAUCAUAAAAAUAUGGGUCUCACCCUUUUUUCAUAUUUAUCGUAAAUAUGGGUCUCAGCCCACUUUCAUAUUUUCAUGGCACUUCGUGCCCAAAAUUAAAUCAUUAUAUUUUCCUCGCACCUCGUGCCCACGUUUCAUAUCCCAAUUGCACGGACGAUUCACGUGUCAAUAUCAUCAUUAUUUACUCACGGCACCUCGUGCCCACAUUUUAUUUUAUAAUCCGCUUGGCAAUAGCCACAUGCUCUCAUUUUCAACCUAGAUUAGACUAUUAUCAAGUCUACCGAAACAACAAGACAAAUUUCACAAGAUAUAAAAAAAAACACAAGAAAGAUCACAACAUCACAUAGAAACUACCAAUGCAAUAACUCCACAUCGUCAUAUAUCAUCCCUGACAAUAUCCACUCUUAUCUCUCCUAUAGCCACCCUUAUCACUCUUAUAAUAGCCUCCCUUUAUCCAUCUGCCCUCACUAUAUCAAUAGCCACCCUUAUCGCUCAUAUAGCCACCCUUAUCGCUCCAAUAGCCAUCCUCAUCGCUUAUAUAGCUACCCUUAUCGCUCCGCCCAGAUAAUAUCCCAACAUACAUAACAACAGUGAAAUGCCUCCCUUAUACCCACAUAAUAUCAACAGUGAAAUGCCACCCUUAUAUCCUCAAAAUGAUAACUCAACUAACAUAACAAUUUACAUUGAAUAUUAUCACGGCAACGUAACAAAAUCAGUUCAUAUCACAAUUUGCCCAAUGGGUACAAUCAAUUUCAAGAAUAUAACAAAAUCAAUUAAUUUCACAACAAUCAGCCCAAUGCUCCACACAAAAACUCAAAAACAAUCAACAGAGAUAGAAAACAAUCAACAUAGGGCACACCUUUAUUAAUCCAAAUUUAGAUAAUUAUAUUAACACUUCUUCUUAAGCUUGCUUAAUUAAUUAUUUGCAUAGAGAAAAUUCAUAAUAAAAUUAAACUCCAAGAAAUAUCAAACCAUCAAACUCACGGAAUUCACAUAAGUAUACAAGUAAUAAUUAAAUCGAAUUGUCAUAUAAAAACAACUUCAAUAAUUGUAAUUUGUGGCAUGGCAAUUAGAUUAUUAAAUAUGUGCCAACAAUUAUCCAAUUUACUACACAAUAUACCGAAGUCUUUAUCUCAAUAAAUUUUGCACAUAUAAGCCCGAGUACGUACUCGUCACCUCGCGUACACGGCUUUUCACAUUUCAAAAAUGGCAUAAAGACUCGAUGCAUAAGGGGUAAUUCCCCCACUCAAGGUUAGGCAAGACACUUAUCUUUUUGAAGUUAUGCCGAUAUUCCAAAAUCACCUUCUUGCUUGAAUUAACCUCCGGACAGCUCAAAUCUAUCUAAAUUAAUUGUACAACUUCAUUAAAAUUCAUCAAAAACAAAUUCCGGAUAAUAAAACGUUGACUUAAAAAUUUAUUCUAAAAAGUCAACAAAAGUCAAUGUGGGGCCCGCCCCUCGGAACCCGACAUAAUUUCUAUGAAAUUCGAUCACUCAUUCCGAUACGAGUCCAACCAUACCAAUUUUAUCGAAUUCCAAUAACAACUCAACCUCCAAAUCUUAAAUUUUCGCUUUUGGAAGAUUUUGCAAAAAACUUGAUUUCUUCCAUUAAAAUUCGAAUUAAAUGAUAAAUAUAACCAUAGAUACAUGAAGUAUAAUCACUUUAGGAUGUAGAAAACUUACCCCAGUCGAAGUCAUGAAGAAACCCUCAAAAUCGCCCAAGAACCAAGGUCAAAAAUUAUUUCUUUUGUGUUAUGAACUCAAACCCUCGAUUUGGAAUUUGACACUGUCUGCCCAGAUUUCCUUCUUCGCGAACGCGACCGUCCUCUCGCGUACACAUAGACCAACUUGACUGCCUCUCCACUUUACUCUUCGCGAACGCGACACAUGACUCACGAACGUGAUGCUUUACUAGCUCAGACCUUCGCGAACGCGACCAUAACCUCGCGAACGCGUAGAACAAGGACCUGGGGUCCCCAACUUCCUCACUCCUCUUUGCGAACGCGACACUGCUCCCGCGUUCGCGAUGCACACGCAGACCACACUUUCGCGUUCGCGUCCUCCCCUUCGCGAAUGCGAAGAACAAAUCUCACCACUUAGAAAAUACUUCGCGAAUGCGAGGGCCCACUUGCGAACGCGAAAGAGGAAACCAGAAGAAUGCAACAGGAGAUAUUAGUAAUCUUCCCAAGGCCAAAAAUGAUCAGUUAACCACCCGAAACUCACCCGAGGCCCUCGGGACCUCAACCAAACAUACAAACGCAUCCCAUAACAUCAUAUGAACUUAGUCGAACCUUCAUAUCACCUUCAACAAUACCAAAAACACGAAUUACACACGGAUUCAAGUCUAAUGAACUUAGAAAUUUUUGAAUUCCACAAAUGACGUUGAAACCUACCAAACCAUGUCCGAAUGACCUCAAAUUUUGCACACAAGUAAGAAAUGACACAACAAAGCUAUUCAAAUUUCUGGAAUCGGAUUCUGACCCCGAUAUCAAAAGGUCAACCCCCCGGUCAAACCUCUAAAAAAUUUAUCUUUCGUCAUUUCAAGCCUAAUUCCACUACAAACCUCCAAAUAAUUUUCCAAAUACACUCCUAAGUCCAUAAUCACCAUACGGAGCUAUUGACAUCAUCAAAAUUUCAUUCCGGAGUCGUUUUCUCAAAAGUUAACUCUCUGGUCAACUCUUUCCAUUUAAGCUUCUAAAUAAGGAUUGUUCUUUUAAUUUAAUUUCGAAUCUUCAGUAAUUCAAACUCGACCACACCCACGGGUCAUAAUACAUAUUGCGAAACUUCUCGAGAUAUUAAGUCACUGAACGGGGCGUAAAUUCUUAAAACGACAAGUCGGGUCGUUACACAAACUAUCCAAAUGUGCCUUUGGGCAAGAUAGAGUGGAGUAUCUUGGCCACAUUAUCUCUUGUAAAAGGGUAGCUACUAACCUUACCAAGAUUGAUUCAAUGGUUAAUUGGCCUGUGACCAGGUCAAUGAAAGCUCUUAGGGGGGUUUUGGGACUCACUGGGUACUGCAGGAGGUUUGUGAAAUCUUAUGGAAUCAUUAGUAGAUCUCUAACUAACUUACUCAAGAAAAAUUCAUUCCAGUGGAAUGAGGAAGCAGAAUUGGCCUUUCAGCAACUGAAGACAGCCAUGUCUACAACACCUUCUUAGCCUUGGCUGACUUUACCAAAUCUUUUAUUGUUGAAAUUGAUGCUUGUGCUACAAGUAUAGGGGUUAUCCUAAUGCAAGAAGGGAGACUUAUAGCUUACCUUAACAACGCAUUAGCCUUGAAGAACGGGGGUUUAUCUACAUAUGAGAAGGAAUAUUUAGCUAUCCUAACUGUAGUAGAAAAGUGGAGGCAUUACUUGCAGGGUGGUUGCUUUAUUAUAAGAACAGACCAUCAAAGCUUGUAGUACCUUCUGGAGCAGAAAGUAACCACAACUCUUCAACAAAGGGGUCUUACUAAACUCCUGGGAUUGGAUUAUGAGGUUCAGUACAAAAAGGGAUCUGAAAAUAGGGCAACUAAUGCCUUUUCUAGAAGAAUGAAAGAGGGUGGAGAGUGUACAUUAAUUACUAGUCAUCUCUUCUACACAAGCUACCUAGUUACAAAAGGUAUGUCUCAACUAUGAGGGUGAUCUUGCAGCUUCUCAACUACUAGGAGCACUGACAGUAUCUACUAAGGACUAUUCCUUGAAUCAAGGGGUGAUCAGGUCUAAACAGAAAAUCCAUGUGGGAAAAGGAAAUGAACUAAGACAGAAAAUAUGGGAAGAGUUGCAUCAGUCACCAGUUGGGGGCCAUUUGGGUCAGCAGGGCAUACAUGAGAGUGAAGUCCAUCUUCUACUGGCCUAGCAUGAAGACAGAAAUUUUCAGGAAGGUGAGUGAAUGUGAUGUAUGUCAAAGGGUGAAGAAAGAACAAGUUCAUUCUCCAGGGUUAAUACAACCCCUCUCAAUACCUGAACAUGCUUGGCAUGACAUAUCACUAGAUUUUGUGGAAGGGUUACCUUUUUCUGGACAAAAGAGUGCCAUAUGAGUGGUAGUGGACAGGUUCACUAAAUAUGGGCAUUUCCUAGCACUUAAAUACCCCUUCACAACUCAAGAGGUGGCAGACCUAUUCCUUAAAGAAAUCUACAGGCUACAUGGGCUUCCCAAAACUAUAGUAUCAGAUAAAGAAGCUAUUUUCACCAGCCAUUUCUGAUAGCAUCUCUUUAAAACCUUGGGAACUAAACUCAACAUGAGCUCAGCAUAUCACCCACAAUCUGAUGGGCAGAAAGAAAGGCUUAAUAGAUGCUUGGAGACUCAUCUCAGAGCCAUGAUCUUUGAUAAACAUAAACAGUAGACUAAAUGGUUACAUUUGGCAGAAUGGUGGUACAAUACAAAUUACCACACUUCCCUUAAAACCACACCAUUUGAGGCUUUGUAUGGCUACCCACCAGUCUAGUUACCACUGGGAUUCCUAGCCAACCCAAACCAGAACUCAACAGGGGUGUGUCUAGCUCAAAGGCAACAAGCGCUUCAGACACUUAAAGAAAAUCUCACUCAAGCUCAGUCAAGAAUGAAGUUCUACGCAGAUCGACUAAGGAUUGAACGAACUCUGGAGGUUGGGGACCAAGUCUACCUCAAACUUUAGCCCUAUCGACAAUCUUCUAUUGAUGUAAGGAAAAAUGUUAAACUAUGUGCCCGCUACUAUGGCCUUACAAGACUUUAUAAAAGAUCGGAACAGUGGCUUACCGAUUAGAACUACCAGUAGUCUCCCAGCUACAUCCGGUCUUCCAUGUGUCUCAGUUGAAGAAGCGAGUGGGCCCUGCUAUAGUUCCUCAGUCGCAACCUCUAGUGCGUGAUGUAGAAGGCAUAGUAUUGAUCCAACCUUUGGCGAUUUUACAAAGAAGAAUGGUUAAAGUCAACAAUGGGGUAGCAGUGAAGGUGUUGAUUUAAUGGGCUAAUCUAGGAAAAGACGACGCUUCUUGGGAGGAUUGGGGCUAUAUCAAGAGCAGAUUCCCAGAAUUUAUGGCUCAACGACGACCUUGAGGACAAGGUUGUUCUUGAAGGAGUGGGGAAUGUUAUGUCUGAGGAAGCUUAGGGUUUGAUUUAGGAAAGUGUCGGAGAAUGAAGAAGACCUUCCUAUCUG